Molecule: non-coding RNA, 2982 nt
Organism: Anolis sagrei ordinatus
Lineage: Eukaryota; Metazoa; Chordata; Lepidosauria; Squamata; Anolidae
Source: RefSeq, a predicted model, not a curated record
UCAUUCUCUAGUGUGAUGAGGUCCUUAAAAGAGACACCAAGGACCAUUCAGCCUUUAACAGCCUCACUAAACUACAAACCCCAGAAUUCUGCAGGAGGCAGAAACUGGAUUUUCAGUGGAUGAAGUAGUUAAUUCAGUGUCCCCAAGGUUAUAAUCUUCUGCGCUUGUACUUGGGAGCAAACUUAAAAUCUGGUUUCUGUCUCCUGCAGAGUUCUGGGGUUUGUAGUUUGAGUUGUUGGGUGUUUUCCAGGCUGUGUGACCAUAUUCCAGAAGCAUUCUCUCCUGACAUUUGGGCCAUAUCUAUGGCAGGCAUCCUCAAAGGUUGGAAACAAAGCAAGUGGGGUUUAAAUAUCUGUAGAACUCCUGUCUGACUUACCUACUAAUAAAAGAUUCCCCCAGGCAGGAAGCAGCCAAACCUUGAAGCUGCAAGGCUUCACACUUCACAUUCACACUUGCCUCAAACAUACAAGAGUUUUUUCCUUGUUCCCAACAGACCUCACAACCUCUGAGGAUGCCUGCCACAGAUUCAGGCGAAACAUCAGGAGAGAAUUCUUCUGGAACAUGGCCAUACAGCAUGGAAAACAUGCAACAACCGAAUGAUUCCAGCCAUGAAACCCUUCAACAACCGCUGUUGAACUCUGCACAGACCUUGAUCCAAGGGAGUAUGCAUAAGGAAUGGGAUGUGUGUGUGUCUGUGAAUCUUUUUCUCCUCCUCCAUUCGUUGCAAUCACUGCCUUCCUCUCCUCUUCCUCCUCUUGUCCCCUUCCUCCUUUUAUCCUAUUCCCCAUGUCGUCUUCUUGUUCUUCCUCUUCUCCUUCUUGUCCUCUUCCCCUUCUUCUCUUCCUCCUACAUUUUUCUUUUUGGUCUCUGAGCCUCUAAUACAGUGUGUCUUAACCUUCCGAAUGCUGCAACCCCCUAAUUCCUCAUGUUGUGGUGACCCCCAACCAUAUAAUUUUUUUUGUUGCUACUUUGUUUUUGUUGUUGUUCAUUCGUUCAGUCGUUUCCGACUCUUCGUGACCUCAUGGACCAGCCCACGCCAGAGCUCCCUGUUGGCCGUCACCACCCCCAGCUCCUUCAAGGUCAAUCCAGUCAUUGCUACUUCAUAACUGAAAUUUUGCAACUGUUAUGAGUUGUCAUGUAAAUAUCUGAUAUGCAGGAUGUAUUUUCAUUCACAAAUACCCAAUACGCCCAAAUUUGAAUACUGGUGGAGUUUAUUUUGUCAUUUGGGAGUUGUAGUUUCUGGAAUGUAUAGGUCAUCCACAAUCAAAUAGCAUUCUGAACCUCACCAAUGAUAGAAUUGGUCCCAGUUUCCCUUGAAGGGACAUGCUGGCACAAGCCUCCCUCCAGCCUCGCACGCUCUCCCUUGCUAACACGUGCACACCAUGCUGCCAUGCACAGAGCAUUCCUGCUCUUCCCUCCCCACUUGGAGUCUCAGAAACAGCCCUCCCCUCAGUCUCAGAAACAGCCAGCCAAUCACAGCGGAGGAGGGCUUUUAGUGGGAGGAUUCGCCAUCUCUUUCCAAAAAGGAAGACAAGGACAGGUGGAGAGAUCUUCAUCCUUCUCUGCCAAAGGGAUUCCUAAGACCAUCAGAAAUAUAUGUUUUCUGAUGGUCUUUGGCGACCCCUCUGACAUUCCCUCAUGACCCCCCCCCCAGGUUGAGAAACACUGCUCUAAUAGCAGUUUGGUGUGUACUUGCAGGCACCUGCUUGUGCCUCUCUUCAUUCUGUGUGAAUAAUUCACCUGGCUCAUCAAUGUUUUCUCCACCUAUCUAGCUCAUGGAACUGCAUCCAUCUCCAUGCUAUCUGUUUUCUUCAUCUCCAGAUGCUGCAGACAGAGCCCAGGAGUCGGCCAAACCUCACAUUCCUGUUCAGGUGGCCUUGCCUGGGAGAAGAAUGGAGGCAUCAACACGUCAGUGUCCCCGUGUGCUCUGUGCCAAAGCACGUCCCCAGCAUUAGCGGGAGGGCAACCAAACAUACCUGUAAUAUUAUAUUUUGCAAUGGAAAAUGCAUUGGGGUAGGCCAAGAAGCGGUUUGCAGGGAUAGACUGAUAAGCCCUUCAAGAUAAACCCUGUCAUCAGGUUUCAUUACAGCAGGUGUCCUUUGGCACGUGACAAUGACUUUUGGUGCUGCAAGGAGAUCAUCCAUGUGACUUUGUAGCGGCGUCAUUUGUUCAGGAAAGCAAUACACCAGCCACUUGUGUUGUGUGUAUUUGUCUCUAUGUGUGUAUGGUUAAAGCUUCUUCCUUAUCUGACAUACUUGGUUAGAUAUGCAAAGUCGUUUAAAAGGGGGGAGGGAGUCAUGAAGGAUCUAAACAGAAUAUCAAAGGAAAACCUUUUGCCAUACAAAUCACGUUUCAUUGACUGCAGAAACAUCCUUACCUUUUUUUAUCCUUCUCCACUCUCUCCUGAACCUCCUUACCUUGCCAAAAACAUCCCACAUCUGGAAAAGGAAAACUGUAAAAUCUCAACCAAGAAGAGGUUCAAGAGGAGGACAUCACCUUGCAGACUGCAGCAUGGCAAUCUUAUCUCUUCAUAGCCAGGAAGGAUGUGUCUACCAGAGUCUUCCUCUCAUCCAACGUGUACCUUUAAAAAGCUGUAAAUAAAAUACAGGCUCUCUCUCUCUCUCAAAACCACAGUUGGGUCUGCCUUCUAUAUGUCUGCUACAAGGCAGCAGGUCAUGUGGCCUUCAAAAAGAAGCUAGCAGAUAGAUGGAUGUGAUGAUUGGAGCCCAUGGAGAUUUAUUUUCUUGGAAAGAAAAUGUCCAAGAACUGUCAAUAUACAUGUUUUUAGAAUUGAAGGUGAAAUAAUUUGUUGUUGAAGGCUUUCAUGGCUGGAAUCACUGGGUUGCUGUGAGUUUUCUGGGCUGUAUGGCCAUGUUCCAGAAGUAUUCUCUCCUGACGUUUCACUCACAUCUAUGGCAGGUAUAAUCCGAGAUUGCGAGGAACUCUAAAAUCAAACAAUAAAUAAACAAUUAUCUAGUUGCA